GAUGAACGCUAGCGGCAGGCUUAACACAUGCAAGUCGAGGGGUAUUGGUUUUCGGACCAAGAGACCGGCGCACGGGUGCGUAACGCGUAUGCAAUCUACCUUUUGCAGAGGGAUAGCCCCAGAGAAAUUUGGAUUAAUACCUCAUAGUAUAGUACUUUGGCAUCAAGGAACUAUUAAAGUCACAACGGCAAAAGAUGAGCAUGCGUCCCAUUAGCUAGUUGGUAAGGUAACGGCUUACCAAGGCUACGAUGGGUAGGGGUCCUGAGAGGGAGAUCCCCCANACUGGUACUGAGACACGGACCAGACUCCUACGGGAGGCAGCAGUGAGGAAUAUUGGACAAUGGGCGCAAGCCUGAUCCAGCCAUGCCGCGUGCAGGAUGACGGUCCUAUGGAUUGUAAACUGC
RNAcentral lists this ribosomal RNA (404 nucleotides) under uncultured bacterium. RNAcentral's name for it is "bacterial SSU rRNA". It matches the Rfam family "Bacterial small subunit ribosomal RNA", at positions 28 to 433 of the family's 1533-position model. The record is from RNAcentral.